GACGAACGCUGGCGGCGUGGAUUAGGCAUGCAAGUCGAACGGUAUCAUCCUUUCGGGGGUGAGAGAGUGGCGAACUGGUGAGUAACACGUAGGUUAUCUACCCUCAAGACGGGGACAACCCAGGGAAACUUGGGCUAAUACCGGAUGUGAGCAACUUUUAGUUGUUUGAAAGGUGACGUAAGCUGUCGCUUGGGGAUGAGCCUGCGUCCUAUUAGUUAGUUGGUGAGGUAACGGCUCACCUAGGCAAUGAUAGGUAGGCGGCCUUAACGGGUGGUCGCCCACACUGGGAUUGAGAUACGGCCCAGACUCCUACGGGAGGCAGCAGUCGAGAAUAGUCUACAAUGGUCGGAAGACUGAUAGUGCGACGCCGCGUGAACGAUGAAUCCCUUCGGGGUGUAAAGUUCUUUUAUAUGUGAGCAGUGCUUCUUAUAUUAACAGUAUGGGGAGAGAGAUAUUAGCAUAUGAAUAAGCAACGGCUAACUCCGUGCCAGCAGCCGACGGU
RNAcentral lists this ribosomal RNA (502 nucleotides) under uncultured bacterium. RNAcentral describes it as "bacterial SSU rRNA". It matches the Rfam family "Bacterial small subunit ribosomal RNA", at positions 28 to 521 of the family's 1533-position model. The record is from RNAcentral.